CCUUGACCCCUUCUUUGUGAUGAAGUAUGCUUUCCCAUGCUCUUUGAUGUUGAGCUUGGCUAUGUGACUUGCUUUGGUCAAUGAAAUAUUUGCAGAUGUCUUUGGCUUUACUUUCACGCUGUGGUGAUUGGCUAUGAAGAGAGCAUGCUCCAGGUAUCCUGGACUCCAGGAUGAACACACGUAAUGCAGACCUGAACCCACCCUGCACCCCUGCAGCAAAACCGCCCCACUGAGCUCACGCUUAGGUCAGGCAAACUGCAGUGGACCCACAGACCCAUGAGCAUAGGGGGAAUUGCCUACUCUUAGCAGCCACUGAAUCCUGUCCUGAUUUGUUGAUGCAGGAUGAUGAUGGUGAUAGCUGACUCAAAUGGCCUCUAUCAAAAUUAAUUCCUUGUCCACAUAUAGAACUUGGGAACUGAUUUUUGGAGGGUUUAAAAGAAUCGUCCUGACCCAGCUUUAAUUUUAAAUUCCAUGUAAAGUUUAAGCUUGACAUUUCAAAGUUUCUGAUUUCUAUUUAACUUCUUGGCUCUCAGUGGUGUCUACUCACUGCUCAUUGAGAGUUACCUGUAAAUCUCCCCAAUUCCAUUCAGCACUACAAAAUGAUUAAGUGCUGACUCCCAUUGUUCUCUUCCAAUGGUAAGGCCAACAUGCAGUCUCAGAACAGUCAUUAGAUGUGAAAUGAGGCUGAACACAACUGGGAACCUUGUGGUGCUGGGUCCAAGCCCUCCCAAGUGGAUCCCCUUUGUAUAAAGUUCUUUCAUGUUUUGGGGUGAUUUUUUGACCCAUAUAUUUGUCCCAAGUCGUGUAAUAAGCUUUGCUCGUGGUAUUCCCUAAGACAAGAUCGAAUAAUUUCCCAAAGUUCCUCACCUACGCUAGAGGACCUGUGUUUCUCUGCUCCUCGUAGCCUGGCAGCAGAGACCUGGAGUGGCCUAGGGCGAGGCUGUGACUGCAUCACCUGUCCAAUGCCACAUCCUUCUUCCUCACGCACAUGGCCCAUCAAAGCCAGAACAUGAUCAGAAUAUGCUCAGAACACGCUCAGAACAUGCCCAGAGCACACUUGGAACAUGCUCAGAACACACUCAACACACUUAGAACACGCUCAGACCAUGCUCAGAACAUGCUCAGAACACGCUCAGAACAGGCUCAGAACAGACUCGGAAUACACUCAGAACAUGCUCAGAACAUGCUCAGAACAGACUCGGAAUACACUCAGAACAUGCUCAGAACACGCUCAGAACAGACUCGGAAUACACUCAGAACAUACUCAGAACAUGCUCGGAACACGCUCAGAACAUGCUCAGAACACACGCAGAACAUGCUCAGAACAUGCUCAUGCUUAGAAACACAGAACUUGCUCGGAACAUGUUUGGAACACGCUCAGAACACGCUCAGAACAGACUCGGAAUACACUCAGAACAUACUCAGAACAUGCUCAGAACAUGCUCGGAACACGCUCAGAACAUGCUCAGAACAUGCUCAGAACAGACUCGGAAUACACUCAGAACAUACUCAGAACAUGCUCAGAACAGGUUCAGAACACAGAACAUGCUCAGAACAGACUCGGAAUACACUCAGAACAUACUCAGAACAUGCUCAGAAUAGGCUCAGAACACAGAACAUGCUCAGAACAUGCUCAGAACACACGCGGAACAUGCUCAGAACAUGCUCAUGCUUAGAAACACAGAACUUGCUCGGAACAUGUUUGGAACAUGCUCAGAACACACUCAGAACAUGCUCGGAACACACUCAGAACAGGCUCGGAACACAUUCAGAACACACUCAGAGCAUGCUCAGAACACGCUCAGCUCUGCUCUGUGUCAGCUUCCUGAGUAGCCCCACCCAUGACGCCUUCGUAGGCAAGCGGGGGCUUUCCAAGUCCUCAUUCAUGCUGCUUUCCGGUGCAAGAAUACUGCCUCAAGGAAACAUUAAAAUUAUCAUAGAGAAGCAGAGAAAAUACCAGGAUUUUCAGGAGUGGACUUGACAGACGUUUGCCUGAUGUGUGAAACGGGUGGCUGUAGGAGAAGGUGUCCAUCACACUUACGGGCAGACGGAGAAGCUCAUUCGCUCAUGCUGUCAACCCUCACUGGGUGUCUAGCAGGGACCAGACGCAGGUCUCAGCCCUGAGAGUGCAGGGGGCACAUGGUCAGGUAAGCCCCAGCUUUCAGGGAGCUUGUGUCUCAGUGAAAUGCCAGGAGAGGGCCACUUGGGGAGCACUGGUCACUUACAUGGGAUGAUAGUGGUGUCCCCCAAGACAGGAAAGCAGGACUUUUUCCUACACACGUGUCACUCUGAAUCUAAGCAUUUCCUUUGUUUCUUUGAUGUCCAGACCCAAAGUGUACAGCGACUUUUCUUUCUUGCUGCUUUUCCUCUCUGCUCUUAUCACAAACGAAGUCCUUCCAGCCGGAGCCUCAGUCUCUUCCUCCCUCCGUGGCUUCCUGCUUUCUCUUCCACGCUGUAUUGAUUUUCUUUUCCCCCAACGUUGGCUUCUGUGCUAAUGCCUUAUUCUAGUGAGGGAGGCUAACAGCGGGAUUUCGGGGACUGAGGCAAGGCCGUGAGGAACUCGUGGGCGGGGAGGCCUUUGUUCUGCAAAUCUUGGCGUGCAGUUUGCACUCUCCGUUCAAUUAGGAUCAGACUUGAAGAGGAGACAGGGCAAAGGUGACUCAUCCUGUCUUUUUCAAUUUCAGCAUUUUGUGUAACACCAUGUUCCAAAUCAAUGUAAAAACCGCAAUAACAAAAUUAUUACUCGCCAUAACUGAAGCCCAUCCUGUGGCCCACAGAGAGAGCCAGGGAGUCUCAGGUGUGUGUGCGAGAAGAGGCUCAACUCUUCCCUCCACUGCCUCCUCAUAGAGGAAGGACCGAGGGCUCGCACCCAAUAAUAUACAGUGAUAGGAAGAACUCCUGUGAUAUCAGAAGAAUCCACUCAAGAGGUGUUCGACGGGACUGCGUUUCAGAGACUUCCUUUUGGUACGCCCAGCCUCUUAAAGCCUAACACAUAAAUGGAGCCUCUUCUGGAGGGAGGAAAAAAGACCAGAAUGCAUUGCACGCAAUGUGCUGCCUCAUACCCGAUGUACAGGAGUCUCCGC
RNAcentral lists this long non-coding RNA (3083 nucleotides) under Pan troglodytes (chimpanzee). RNAcentral describes it as "long non-coding RNA NONPTRT015970". The record is from RNAcentral. Lineage: Eukaryota; Metazoa; Chordata; Mammalia; Primates; Hominidae.